GGUCAAGUGACCAAGGGCUUACGAUGGAUACCUAGGCAUUCAGAAGCGAUGAAGGGCGCGAUAACCGGCGAUAUGCUUCGGGGAGCUGGAUACAAGCUUUGAUCCGGAGGUUCCCGAAUGAGGUAACUCCUUGUACUAUCUGUGAAUCCAUAAACAGAUUAAGAGCGAACUCGGUGAACUGAAACAUCUUAGUAACCGAAGGAAAAGAAAGCAAAAGCGAUUCCCUUAGUAGCGGCGAGCGAACGGGGAGAAGCCUAAACCAACAAGCUUGUCUUGUUGGGGUUGUGGGACAGCAUAACGGUAUAGUAAGAAUUAGGUGAAGCAACUGAAUAUUGCACCAAAGAGGGUGAAAGUCCCGUAAUCGAAAAUUUAAACUAGCCAGCUGUAUCCCAAGUAGCAUGGGGCACGUGAAAUCCCGUGUGAAUCAGCGAGGACCACCUCGUAAGGCUAAAUAUUCCUGAAUGACCGAUAGCGUAACAGUACCGUGAGGGAAAGGUGAAAAAGAACCCCUGGCCUGGGAGUGAAAUAGAACAUGAAAUCGUAAGCCUACAAGCAGUAGAAGGACGACUUAACGUCUAACUGCGUGCCUGUUGAAGAAUGAGCCGGCGACUUAUAGGUAGUGGCAGGUUAAGGUAAUGAUUUACUGGAGCCAUAGCGAAAGCGAGUUUUAAUAGAGCGUUUAGUCACUAUUUAUAGACCCGAACCCGGGUGAUCUAACCAUGGCCAGGGUGAAGCUUAGGUAAAACUAAAUGGAGGCCCGAACCGAUCGAUGUUGAAAAAUCGCCGGAUGAGUUGUGGUUAGGGGUGAAAUGCCAAUCGAACCCGGAGCUAGCUGGUUCUCCCCGAAAUGCGUUGAGGCGCAGCGGUUGAUGUUAUAAUUUAGGGGUAAAGCACUGUUUCGGUGCGGGCUACGAGAGUGGUACCAAAUCGAGGCAAACUCUGAAUACUAAAUGAAUAGUCAACCAGUCAGACAGUGGGGGAUAAGCUCCAUUGUCAAGAGGGAAACAGCCCAGACCACCAUCUAAGGCCCCUAAAUAAUAGCUAAGUGGGAAAGGAGGUGGAAGUGCUUAGACAACCAGGAGGUUUGCUUAGAAGCAGCAAUCCUUUAAAGAGUGCGUAAUAGCUCACUGGUCAAGCGCUUCUGCGCCGAAAAUGAAUGGGACUAAGCUAUUUGCCGAAGCUGUGGGAUGUGCUAUAUAUCAUAUGUUAUAUAGACAUCGGUAGGGGAGCGUUCCGUCAUAGGGUGAAGCACUAACGUAAGUGAGUGUGGACGAAACGGAAGUGAGAAUGUCGGCUUGAGUAGCGAAAACAUUGGUGAGAAUCCAAUGCCCCGAAAACCCAAGGGUUCCUCCGCAAGGCUCGUCCACGGAGGGUGAGUCAGGACCUAAGGCGAGGCCGAAAGGCGUAGUCGAUGGAUAACGGAUUAAUAUUCCCGUACCAUUCGUAGUUAGUGUUGAGGGACGGAGAAGGCUAAAACCUGCUGGAUGUUGGUAGCCACUUUUUGUGGCAUUAUCAGUGCAAGUGUCCAAAGGCGUUGAGAGGUGGAGAAAACACCUUGAGCUAAGGCACGAGUCGUCUUGUAUAAAAUUCAUUUUUUAUACCGGAUUGGUUAACGUCACGCUUCCAAGAAAAGCUCAAAACACGUUAAGCUACGAAUGCUUGUACCCCAAACCGACACAGGUGGGUAGGUAGAGAAUACUAAGGGGCGCGAGAUAACUCUCUCUAAGGAACUCGGCAAAAUGGCCCCGUAACUUCGGGAGAAGGGGUGCCCUUUUUUAAGGGCCACAGUGACCAGGCCCAGGCGACUGUUUACCAAAAACACAGGUCUCCGCUAAUUCGUAAGAUGAUGUAUGGGGGCUGACGCCUGCCCAGUGCCGGAAGGUUAAGGAAGUUGGUCAGCUGUAAAGCAAAGCUAGCGACUGAAGCCCCGGUGAACGGCGGCCGUAACUAUAACGGUCCUAAGGUAGCGAAAUUCCUUGUCGGGUAAGUUCCGACCCGCACGAAAGGCGUAACGAUCUGGGCGCUGUCUCAGAGAGAGACUCGGCGAAAUAGACAUGUCUGUGAAGAUGCGGACUACCUGCACCAGGACAGAAAGACCCUAUGAAGCUUUACUGUAGCCUGAUAUUGGGUUCGGGCUCUUCUUGCGCAGAAUAGGUGGGAGGCAUUGAGAGUACCCUUGUGGGGGUACUGGAGCCAUCAGUGAGAUACCACUCUGGAAGAGCUAGAAUUCUAACUUUAAGCCGUUAUCCGGCUAAAGAACAGUUUCAGGUGGGCAGUUUGACUGGGGCGGUCGCCUCCUAAAAAGUAACGGAGGCGCGCAAAGGUUCCCUCAGACUGGACAGAAAUCAGUCGUAGAGUGUAAAGGCAGAAGGGAGCUUGACUGUAAGACCUACAAGUCGAACAGGAACGAAAGUUGGCCUUAGUGAUCCGACGGUGCCGCGUGGAAGGGCCGUCGCUCAACGGAUAAAAGUUACUCUAGGGAUAACAGGCUGAUCUCCCCCAAGAGUCCACAUCGACGGGGAGGUUUGGCACCUCGAUGUCGGCUCAUCGCAACCUGGGGCGGUAGUACGUCCCAAGGGUUGGGCUGUUCGCCCAUUAAAGCGGUACGUGAGCUGGGUUCAGAACGUCGUGAGACAGUUCGGUCCAUAUCCGGUGUAGGCGUUAGAGUAUUGANAGGAGCUCUCCCUUGUACGAGAGGAUCGGGAGGGACACACCGCUGGUGUAUCAGUUAUCGUGCCUACGGUAAANNNUGAGUAGCUAAGUGUGGAGUGGAUAACCGCUGA
This 2783-nucleotide ribosomal RNA is filed under the name Cyanoptyche gloeocystis. Its description in RNAcentral is "bacterial LSU rRNA". It matches the Rfam family "Bacterial large subunit ribosomal RNA". The record is from RNAcentral. Lineage: Eukaryota; Glaucocystophyceae.